RNAcentral lists this ribosomal RNA (499 nucleotides) under uncultured bacterium. RNAcentral describes it as "partial 16S ribosomal RNA". It matches the Rfam family "Bacterial small subunit ribosomal RNA", at positions 28 to 507 of the family's 1533-position model. The record is from RNAcentral.
GAUGAACGCUGGCGGCGUGCCUAAUACAUGCAAGUCGAGCGAACAGACGAGAGUGCUUGCACUCUCUGCCGUUAGCGGCGGACGGGUGAGUAACACGUGGGUAACCUACCUAUAAGACUGGGAUAACUUCGGGAAACCGGAGCUAAUACCGGAUAAUAUUUAGCUUCGCAUGAAGCAAUAGUGAAAGACGGUUCUGCUGUCACUUAUAGAUGGACCCGCGGUGUAUUAGCUAGUUGGUGAGGUAACGGCUCACCAAGGCAACGAUACAUAGCCGACCUGAGAGGGUGGUCGGCCACACUGGGACUGAGACACGGCCCAGACUCCUACGGGAGGCAGCAGUAGGGAAUCUUCCGCAAUGGACGAAAGUCUGACGGAGCAAUGCCGCGUGAGUGAAGAAGGUUUUCGGAUCGUAAAACUCUGUUGUAAGGGAAGAACAAGUACGUUAGUAACUGAACGUACCUUGACGGUACCUGACCAGAAAGCCACGGCUAACUACGUG